Passer montanus (Eurasian tree sparrow) is the source of this 1133-nucleotide long non-coding RNA. RefSeq lists it as uncharacterized. The transcript is spliced from 2 exons. Lineage: Eukaryota; Metazoa; Chordata; Aves; Passeriformes; Passeridae. The record is from RefSeq and is a predicted model, not a curated record.
CCCUGGGGACACCCAAGUCACCCCUGGGGCCAGCCCUGGGGACACCAGGACAGCCUUGGGGACACCAGGACAGCCUUGGGGACACCCAAGUCACCCCUGGGGCCAGCCUUGGGGACACUUCCCACUCCGGACUUGGCUCCUCGGGGUUGUCCCUAAUUCUGGAAUGUCCCAGUUGGGAUUUCCCAGAUUUUCACUCAGGUCACUCCAGCAGGACUUUGCUCCUGGGGGUUUUCCCUAAAUCGGGAAUGUUCCAUUCAGGAAUUCCCAAGGAAAGCCAGGUUUAAUUCCCAAGGAAAGCCAGGUUUAAUUCCCGAUAAAAGCCAGGUUUAAUUCCUGAUAAAAGCCAGUUUUAAUUCCCGAUAAAAGCCAGGUUCAAUUCCUGAUAAAAACCAGGACUUUGCUCUUUGGGGUUUUCCCUAAUUCAGGAAUGUUCCAGUUGGAAUUCCUGCUAAAAGCCAGGUUUAAUUCCCAAGGAAAGCCAGGUUCAAUUCCUGCUAAAAGCCAGGUUUAAUUCCCAAGGAAAGCCAGGUUCAAUUCCUGCUAAAAGCCAGGUUUAAUUCCCAAGGAAAGCCAGGUUCAAUUCCUGCUAAAAGCAAGGUUUAAUUUCCGAUAAAAACCAGUUUUAAUUCCUGAUAAAAGCCAGGUUUAAUUCCUGAUAAAAGCCAGGACUUUGCUCUUUGGGGUUCUCCCUAAAUCAGGAAUGUUCCAUUCAGGAAUUUCUGAUAAAUGCCAGUUUUAAUUCCCAAGGAAAGCCAGGUUUAAUUCCCGAUAAAAGCCAGUUUUAAUUCCCAACGAAAGCCCAGGUUUAAUUCCCGAUAAAAGCCAGGUUUAAUUUCCAAUAAAAGCUGGGUUUCAUUCCGGAUAAAAGCCAGGUUUAAUUCCCGAUAAAAGCCAGGUUUAAUUUCCAGUAAAAGCCGGGUUUGCUGCAGGCUCUGGCCUUGGGCCCGGCUUUGGGGCCAGAGGCGUUCCCAGCAGUUCUGGGGUUUCCCAGGACCCCAAAUCGCCCCUCAGAGGGGUCCCAGGGCAGCAGUUCCCGACAAACGCAGCGGGAUUUCCGCCGGGAAUUUCCUUCUCUGCGGCUUUCUGAUUCAAAAUAAAUAAAUUUCAAAAUAAAGAUUGUUUUAGAAAUAAAA